GUGAGGAAUAUUGGUCAAUGGGCGGAAGCCUGAACCAGCCAUGCCGCGUGCAGGAAGACGGCCCUACGGGUUGUAAACUGCUUUUCCGGGGGAAGAAUAAGGGCGAUGCGUCGCCCGAUGCCGGUACCCCGGGAAUAAGGAUCGGCUAACUCCGUGCCAGCAGCCGCGGUAAUACGGAGGAUCCGAGCGUUAUCCGGAUUUACUGGGUUUAAAGGGUGCGUAGGCGGACGCCUAAGUCAGCGGUGAAAUGCGGGGGCUCAACCUUCGAACCGCCGUUGAUACUGGGCGUCUUGGAUUCGGUCGAGGCGGGCGGAAUGCGACAUGUAGCGGUGAAAUGCUUAGAUAUGUCGCAGAACGCCGAUUGCGAAGGCAGCUCGCCGGGCCGACAUCGACGCUGAGGCACGAAAGCGUGGGGAUCGAACAGGAUUAGAAACCCCAGUAGUCC
RNAcentral lists this ribosomal RNA (445 nucleotides) under uncultured bacterium. Its description in RNAcentral is "bacterial SSU rRNA". It matches the Rfam family "Bacterial small subunit ribosomal RNA", at positions 354 to 796 of the family's 1533-position model. The record is from RNAcentral.